This 265-nucleotide ribosomal RNA is filed under the name uncultured archaeon. RNAcentral's name for it is "partial 16S ribosomal RNA". It matches the Rfam family "Archaeal small subunit ribosomal RNA", at positions 717 to 982 of the family's 1478-position model. The record is from RNAcentral.
ACACGACUACAUUAGAUACCCCCGUAGUCCUAGCCGUAAACGAUACUCGCUAGGUGUCGGCCACGGUGCGACCGUUGUCGGUGCCGUAGGGAAGCCGUGAAGCGAGCCACCUGGGAAGUACGGCCGCAAGGCUGGAACUUAAAGGAAUUGGCGGGGGAGCACAACAACGGGUGGAGCUUGCGGUUUAAUUGGAUUCAACGCCGGAAAUCUUACCGGGACCGACAGCAACAUGAAGGCCAAGCCGAAGACUUUGCCGGAUUAGCUG